CCUACAGGCGGCUGCAGUGGGGAAUAUUGCACAAUGGCGGAAACCCUGAUGCAUCGACGCCGCGUGAGUGAAGAAGUAAUUCGUUAUGUAAAGCUCUAUCAGCCGGGAAGAAAAUGACGGUACCUGAGCAAGAAGCCCCGGCUAACUACGUGCCAGCAGCCGCGGUAAUACGGAGGGGGCAAGCGUUAUCCGGAUUUACUGGGUGUAAAGGGAGCGUAGGCGGGAGUGCAAGGCUGGAGUUAAAGGCGGGGGCUCAAACCCCGGACUGCUCUGGAAACUGUACGGCUGGAGUGCAGGAGAGGUAAGUGGAAUGCGUAGUGUAGCGGUGAAAUGCGUAGAUAUUAGGAGGAACACC
RNAcentral lists this ribosomal RNA (355 nucleotides) under uncultured bacterium. Its description in RNAcentral is "partial 16S ribosomal RNA". It matches the Rfam family "Bacterial small subunit ribosomal RNA", at positions 338 to 710 of the family's 1533-position model. The record is from RNAcentral.